Molecule: ribosomal RNA, 484 nt
Filed under: uncultured bacterium
Lineage: Bacteria
Description: partial 16S ribosomal RNA
Rfam family: Bacterial small subunit ribosomal RNA
Source: RNAcentral
AUUGAACGCUGGCGGCAGGCCUAACACAUGCAAGUCGAGCGGAUGAAGGGAGCUUGCUCCUGGAUUCAGCGGCGGACGGGUGAGUAAUUCCUAGGAAUCUGCCUGGUAGUGGGGGAUAACGUCCGGAAACGGGCGCUAAUACCGCAUACGUCCUGAGGGAGAAAGUGGGGGAUCUUCGGACCUCACGCUAUCAGAUGAGCCUAGGUCGGAUUAGCUAGUUGGUGGGGUAAAGGCCUACCAAGGCGACGAUCCGUAACUGGUCUGAGAGGAUGAUCAGUCACACUGGAACUGAGACACGGUCCAGACUCCUACGGGAGGCAGCAGUGGGGAAUAUUGGACAAUGGGCGGAAGCCUGAUCCAGCCAUGCCGCGUGUGUGAAGAAGGUCUUCGGAUUGUAAAGCACUUUAAGUUGGGAGGAAGGGCAGUAAGUUAAUACCUUGCUGUUUUGACGUUACCAACAGAAUAAGCACCGGCUAACUUCGUG